Molecule: microRNA, 20 nt
Filed under: Corchorus olitorius
Lineage: Eukaryota; Viridiplantae; Streptophyta; Magnoliopsida; Malvales; Malvaceae
Description: mmu-miR-466i-
Source: RNAcentral
GUUUGUUUGUGUGUGUGUGU